Non-coding RNA from Paramuricea clavata, 226 nucleotides. Lineage: Eukaryota; Metazoa; Cnidaria; Anthozoa; Malacalcyonacea; Plexauridae. The record is from the annotation of a GenBank genome assembly.
CUUCCUAUAAGCCGAAGAAAGAAUUUGGCAAAAGGUGCUUCGGCCACAGUGGUGCCGAGUGCUGUGGAACAAUCUUCCUUAUGAGGCAAAAAAUGAGUGAAAUCACUGCAUUCAUAAGGGACUGGUAAUACAAAAUUUAUUGUCAUUUCCAAAGCAUGACUCACGCAAAUAUUGAAGACUAAAAAGCAAUGUCAACACUCAACACAGUCAUGCAUGUGUCAAUGCA